UGCAAUGGAGCCUCCAAGUUUUCCUGGAUUCACGGUUGGUAAAAAUUUCUGGAAUCUGGUUAGUGUGAUCCAGGUGAAUUUGAUUUCGCCCAUCCUUGCCAUUAUAACAUGCAGACAUUCUAUCUUCUGCACACUGACAAAGGUUCAAGAAGCAAGAUGCUAACUCCUUCCACACAUCNUUGCCAUUAUAACAUGCAGACAUUCUAUCUUCUGCACACUGACAAAGGUUCAAGAAGCAAGAUGCUAACUCCUUCCACACAUCACAUUUUGCAUAUAUAGCAUCCAAGUGUAAUGCUAUCAUUUCCGUCAGUUUUUCAGUGUCAUAAUACCCUGCCAUUAAGUAUACAAACAACAUGGUUUUACCUAAAGGUUAGUUUCAGAAACGUGGGUCACCAGUUUUCUCAUUCCAAUAACAAAUAUAGUAAUAUAAAGCAGAAGACAACUAAAUCGAAAUACAGAUUCCUCAAAAAUUCUUUAGCAAUGAACAAGUAACAGAAUUUCAUGGUAAAUAACAUGACAUAACGUAGAAUACCUAAACUAUUCAACACUAAUCUUAUUAAAAAGUUGUCUGGAUAACGACACAAUCUCCAUAAGGCCUUAAGAAAAAUACAAGUAGAAAUUAAUAUCAUACCAUGUUGCUGCAUGACAACAAGUCUAACCAAUGAGUCGUUGCAUGUUGGAUCCUUCCUCAUGAU
This 695-nucleotide long non-coding RNA is filed under the name Olea europaea (common olive). RNAcentral describes it as "long non-coding RNA (OEUR_LNC008056)". The record is from RNAcentral. Lineage: Eukaryota; Viridiplantae; Streptophyta; Magnoliopsida; Lamiales; Oleaceae.